GCUUGCGGCCCUACCACCCUGAAUGCGCCCGAUCUCGUCUGAUCUCGGAAGAUAAGCAGGAUCAGGCCUGGUUAGUACUUGAAUGGGAGACCGGAGGAGUACGGGUGCUGCCGACA
This 116-nucleotide ribosomal RNA is filed under the name Larimichthys crocea (large yellow croaker). Lineage: Eukaryota; Metazoa; Chordata; Actinopteri; Sciaenidae. The record is from RNAcentral.